UGCAGUCGAGCGAAUCUUGAGGUGCUUGCACCUCUUGGUUAGCGGCGGACGGGUGAGUAACACGUGGGCAACCUGCCUGUAAGACUGGGAUAACUUCGGGAAACCGGAGCUAAUACCGGAUAAUCCUUUUCCUCUCAUGAGGAAAAGCUGAAAGUCGGUUUCGGCUGACACUUACAGAUGGGCCCGCGGCGCAUUAGCUAGUUGGUGAGGUAACGGCUCACCAAGGCGACGAUGCGUAGCCGACCUGAGAGGGUGAUCGGCCACACUGGGACUGAGACACGGCCCAGACUCCUACGGGAGGCAGCAGUAGGGAAUCUUCCGCAAUGGACGAAAGUCUGACGGAGCAACGCCGCGUGAGCGAUGAAGGCCUUCGGGUCGUAAAGCUCUGUUGUUAGGGAAGAACAAGUAUCGGAGUAACUGCCGGUACCUUGACGGUACCUAACCAGAAAGCCACGGCUAACUACGUGCCAGCAGCCGCGGUAAUACGUAGGUGGCAAGCGUUGUCCGGAAUUAUUGGGCGUAAAGCGCGCGCAGGCGGUCCUUUAAGUCUGAUGUGAAAGCCCACGGCUCACCCGUGAGGGUCAUUGUAAACUGGGGGACUUGAGUGCAGAGA
RNAcentral lists this ribosomal RNA (613 nucleotides) under Neobacillus niacini. RNAcentral's name for it is "bacterial SSU rRNA". It matches the Rfam family "Bacterial small subunit ribosomal RNA", at positions 56 to 654 of the family's 1533-position model. The record is from RNAcentral. Lineage: Bacteria; Bacillati; Bacillota; Bacilli; Caryophanales; Bacillaceae.